UAGGGAAUAUUAGUAAUGGGCGAAAGCCUGAACUAGCAACGCCGCGUGUGCGAAGAAGGCCUUCGGGUUGUAAAGCACUUUUUGAGAGGAUGAGGAAGGACGGUACUCUCAGAAUAAGUCUCGGCUAACUACGUGCCAGCAGCCGCGGUAACACGUAGGAGGCGAACGUUAUCCGGAUUUACUGGGUGUAAAGCGCGUGCAGGCGGUUUGCUAAGUUGGGUGUGAAAGCUCCUGGCUCAACUGGGAGAGGUCGCUCAAGACUGGCAGACUGGAGAGCAGUAGGGGAAGGUGGAAUUCCGGGUGUAGUGGUGAAAUGCGUAGAUAUCCGGAGGAACACCAGUGGCGAAAGCGGCCUUCUAGACUGCAUCUGACGCUCAGACGCGAAAGCUAGGGUAGCAAACGG
RNAcentral lists this ribosomal RNA (403 nucleotides) under uncultured bacterium. Its description in RNAcentral is "bacterial SSU rRNA". It matches the Rfam family "Bacterial small subunit ribosomal RNA", at positions 355 to 775 of the family's 1533-position model. The record is from RNAcentral.